This 292-nucleotide ribosomal RNA is filed under the name uncultured bacterium. Its description in RNAcentral is "partial 16S ribosomal RNA". It matches the Rfam family "Bacterial small subunit ribosomal RNA", at positions 505 to 796 of the family's 1533-position model. The record is from RNAcentral.
GUGCCAGCAGCCGCGGUAAGACGAACCGAGCGAACGUUAUUCGGAAUCACUGGGCUUAAAGGGCGCGUAGGCGGGCCGUCAAGUCGAGGGUGAAAUCCCCCAGCUCAACUGGGGAAGUGCCUCCGAUACUGGCGGCCUCGAGGGGGAUAGGGGCAUGCGGAACUUCCGGUGGAGCGGUGAAAUGCGUAGAUAUCGGAAGGAACACCGGUGGCGAAAGCGGCGUGCUGGAUCCCUUCUGACGCUGAGGCGCGAAAGCCAGGGGAGCGAACGGGAUUAGAUACCCCUGUAGUCC